GGCAGCAGCCGCGGUAACACCGGCGGCCCGAGUGGUGAUCGUGAUUAUUGGGUCUAAAGGGUCCGUAGCCGGUUUGGUCAGUCCUCCGGGAAAUCUGAUAGCUCAACUAUUAGGCUUUCGGGGGAUACUGCCAGACUUGGAACCGGGAGAGGUAAGAGGUACUACAGGGGUAGGAGUGAAAUCUUGUAAUCCCUGUGGGACCACCUGUGGCGAAGGCGUCUUACCAGAACGGGUUCGACGGUGAGGGACGAAAGCUGGGGGCACGAACCGGAUUAGAUACCCGGGUAGUCCCAGCCGUAAACGAUGCUCGCUAGGUGUCAGGCAUGGCGCGACUGUGUCUGGUGCCGCAGGGAAGCCGUGAAGCGAGCCACCCGGGAAGUACGGCCGCAAGGCUGAAACUUAAAGGAAUUGGCGGGGGAGCACAACAACGGGUGGAGCCUGCGGUUUAAUUAGACUCAACGCCGGACAACUCACCGGGGGCGACAGCAAUAUGUAGGCCAAGCUGAAGACUUUGCCUGAAUCGCUGAGGGGAGGUGCAUGG
RNAcentral lists this ribosomal RNA (541 nucleotides) under uncultured archaeon. RNAcentral describes it as "bacterial SSU rRNA". It matches the Rfam family "Archaeal small subunit ribosomal RNA", at positions 457 to 997 of the family's 1478-position model. The record is from RNAcentral.